This 253-nucleotide ribosomal RNA is filed under the name uncultured bacterium. Its description in RNAcentral is "partial 16S ribosomal RNA". It matches the Rfam family "Bacterial small subunit ribosomal RNA", at positions 524 to 776 of the family's 1533-position model. The record is from RNAcentral.
UACAGAGGUCUCAAGCGUUGUUCGGAUUCAUUGGGCGUAAAGGGUGCGUAGGUGGCGCGCUAAGUCAGGUGUGAAAUUUCGGAGCUUAACUCCGAAACUGCAUUUGAUACUGGCGUGCUUGAGGACUGGAGAGGAGACUGGAAUUCACGGUGUAGCAGUGAAAUGCGUAGAUAUCAGGAGGAACACCAAUGGCGAAGGCAGCUCGCUGGGACGGUACUGACGCUGAGACGCGAAAGCGUGGGGAGCAAACAGG